GGGUUGUGAGGUUAAGCGACUAAGCGUACACGGUGGAUGCCCUGGCAGUCAGAGGCGAUGAAGGGCGUGCUAAUCUGCGAUAAGCGCCGGUAAGGUGAUAUGAACCGUUAUAACCGGCGAUACCCGAAUGGGGAAACCCAGUGUGAUUCGUCACACUAUCAUUAACUGAAUCCAUAGGUUAAUGAGGCGAACCGGGGGAACUGAAACAUCUAAGUACCCCGAGGAAAAGAAAUCAACCGAGAUUCCCCCAGUAGCGGCGAGCGAACGGGGAGGAGCCCAGAGCCUGAAUCAGCAUGUGUGUUAGUGGAAGCGUCUGGAAAGGUGCGCGAUACAGGGUGACAGCCCCGUACACAAAAGCGCAUGUGCUGUGAGCUCGAUGAGUAGGGCGGGACACGUGGUAUCCUGUCUGAAUAUGGGGGGACCAUCCUCCAAGGCUAAAUACUCCUGACUGACCGAUAGUGAACCAGUACCGUGAGGGAAAGGCGAAAAGAACCCCGGCGAGGGGAGUGAAAAAGAACCUGAAACCGUGUACGUACAAGCAGUGGGAGCACAGGUUUACCUGUGUGACUGCGUACCUUUUGUAUAAUGGGUCAGCGACUUAUAUUCUGUAGCAAGGUUAACCGUAUAGGGGAGCCGUAGGGAAACCGAGUCUUAACCGGGCGUUAAGUUGCAGGGUAUAGACCCGAAACCCGGUGAUCUAGCCAUGGGCAGGUUGAAGGUUGGGUAACACUAACUGGAGGACCGAACCGACUAAUGUUGAAAAAUUAGCGGAUGACCUGUGGCU
RNAcentral lists this ribosomal RNA (784 nucleotides) under Salmonella enterica subsp. enterica serovar Typhimurium. Its description in RNAcentral is "partial 23S ribosomal RNA". It matches the Rfam family "Bacterial large subunit ribosomal RNA", at positions 1 to 816 of the family's 2925-position model. The record is from RNAcentral. Lineage: Bacteria; Pseudomonadati; Pseudomonadota; Gammaproteobacteria; Enterobacterales; Enterobacteriaceae.